This 433-nucleotide ribosomal RNA is filed under the name uncultured bacterium. RNAcentral's name for it is "partial 16S ribosomal RNA". It matches the Rfam family "Bacterial small subunit ribosomal RNA", at positions 29 to 507 of the family's 1533-position model. The record is from RNAcentral.
AACGAACGCUGGCGGCAUGCCUAACACAUGCAAGUCGAACGAGACCUUCGGGUCUAGUGGCGCACGGGUGCGUAACGCGUGGGAACCUGCCCUUAGGUUCGGAAUAACUCCCCGAAAGGUGUGCUAAUACCGGAUAAUGUCUUCGGACCAAAGAUUUAUCGCCUUUGGAUGGGCCCGCGUUGGAUUAGCUAGUUGGUAGGGUAAAAGCCUACCAAGGCGACGAUCCAUAGCUGGUCUGAGAGGAUGAUCAGCCACACUGGGACUGAGACACGGCCCAGACUCCUACGGGAGGCAGCAGUGGGGAAUAUUGGACAAUGGGCGAAAGCCUGAUACAGCAAUGCCGCGUGAGUGAUGAAGGCCUUAGGGUUGUAAAGCUCUUUUACACGGGAUGAUAAUGACAGUAACGGGAGAAUAAGCACCGGCUAACUCCGUG